GACGAACGCUGGCGGCGUGCUUAACACAUGCAAGUCGAACGAAGAGCGAUGGAAGCUUGCUUCUAUCAAUCUUAGUGGCGAACGGGUGAGUAACGCGUAAUCAACCUGCCCUUCAGAGGGGGACAACAGUUGGAAACGACUGCUAAUACCGCAUACGAUCUAAUCUCGGCAUCGAGGAUAGAUGAAAGGUGGCCCCUACAUGUAAGCUAUCACUGAAGGAGGGGAUUGCGUCUGAUUAGCUAGUUGGAGGGGUAACGGCCCACCAAGGCGAUGAUCAGUAGCCGGUCUGAGAGGAUGGACGGCCACAUUGGGACUGAGACCCGGCCCAGACUCCUACGGGAGGCAGCAGUGGGGAAUCUUCCGCAAUGGACGAAAGUCUGACGGAGCAACGCCGCGUGAGUGAUGACGGCCUUCGGGUUGUAAAGCUCUGUUAAUCGGGACGAAAGGCCUUCUUGCGAAUAGUGAGAAGGAUUGACGGUACCGGAAUAGAAAGCCACGGCUAACUACGUG
Molecule: ribosomal RNA, 510 nt
Filed under: uncultured bacterium
Lineage: Bacteria
Description: partial 16S ribosomal RNA
Rfam family: Bacterial small subunit ribosomal RNA
Source: RNAcentral